AACGCUAGCUACAGGCUUAACACAUGCAAGUCGAGGGGAAACGAUAUUGGAAGCUUGCUUCCGAUAGGCGUCGACCGGCGCACGGGUGAGUAACGCGUAUCCAACCUGCCCAUCACUUGGGAAUAACCUUGCGAAAGUAAGACUAAUGCCCAAUGAUAUCCCACGAAGGCAUCCGAAUGGGAUUAAAGAUUUAUCGGUGAUGGAUGGGGAUGCGUCUGAUUAGCUUGUUGGCGGGGUAACGGCCCACCAAGGCAACGAUCAGUAGGGGUUCUGAGAGGAAGGUCCCCCGCAUUGGAACUGAGACACGGUCCAAACUCCUACGGGAGGCAGCAGUGAGGAAUAUUGGUCAAUGGGCGAGAGCCUGAACCAGCCAAGUAGCGUGCAGGAUGACGGCCCUAUGGGUUGUAAACUGCUUUUAUAAGGGAAUAAAGUGGGUCACGUGUGACUUUUUGCAUGUACCUUAUGAAUAAGGACCGGCUAAUUCCGUGCCAGCAGCCGCGGUAAUACGGAAGGUCCGGGCGUUAUCCGGAUUUAUUGGGUUUAAAGGGAGCGUAGGCCGGAGAUUAAGCGUGUUGUGAAAUGUAGAGGCUCAACCUCUGCACUGCAGCGCGAACUGGUCUUCUUGAGUACGCACAACGUGGGCGGAAUUCGUGGUGUAGCGGUGAAAUGCUUAGAUAUCACGAAGAACUCCGAUUG
Molecule: ribosomal RNA, 696 nt
Filed under: uncultured bacterium
Lineage: Bacteria
Description: bacterial SSU rRNA
Rfam family: Bacterial small subunit ribosomal RNA
Source: RNAcentral